RNAcentral lists this ribosomal RNA (253 nucleotides) under uncultured bacterium. Its description in RNAcentral is "partial 16S ribosomal RNA". It matches the Rfam family "Bacterial small subunit ribosomal RNA", at positions 524 to 776 of the family's 1533-position model. The record is from RNAcentral.
UACGAAGGGUGCAAGCGUUGCUCGGAAUUAUUGGGCGUAAAGGGUAGGUAGGUGGUGAUAUUUGUCUGGGGUGAAAUCCCUGAGCUUAACUCAGGAAGUGCCUUGGAAACGGUAUCACUGGAGUACUGGAGAGGUUCGUAGAAUUCCUGGUGUAGCGGUGAAAUGCGUAGAGAUCAGGAGGAAUAUCAGAGGCGAAGGCGACGAACUGGACAGUAACUGACACUAAACUACGAAAGCGUGGGUAGCAAACAGG